RNAcentral lists this transfer RNA (65 nucleotides) under Blastopsylla occidentalis. RNAcentral's name for it is "tRNA-Asp". Lineage: Eukaryota; Metazoa; Arthropoda; Insecta; Hemiptera; Aphalaridae. The record is from RNAcentral.
AAAAAAAUUAGUUAAUUUAUAUAUAACAUUGAGAUGUCAAUUCAAAGUAACUUAAAGUAUUUUUU